GGGAAUAUGGCUUAGUAGUAAGAGUGCUUGCCUAGCAUGCAUGAAGCCCUGGGUUCAAAUCCUCAGUACCA
RNAcentral lists this transfer RNA (71 nucleotides) under Dipodomys ordii (Ord's kangaroo rat). It matches the Rfam family "tRNA". Rfam says of the family: Transfer RNA (tRNA) molecules are approximately 80 nucleotides in length. Their secondary structure includes four short double-helical elements and three loops (D, anti-codon, and T loops). Lineage: Eukaryota; Metazoa; Chordata; Mammalia; Rodentia; Heteromyidae. The record is from Rfam by way of RNAcentral.